This 460-nucleotide ribosomal RNA is filed under the name uncultured bacterium. RNAcentral describes it as "partial 16S ribosomal RNA". It matches the Rfam family "Bacterial small subunit ribosomal RNA", at positions 338 to 795 of the family's 1533-position model. The record is from RNAcentral.
CCUACGGGAGGCUGCAGUGAGGAAUAUUGGUCAAUGGGCGCAAGCCUGAACCAGCCACGUCGCGUGAGGGAUGACUGCCCUCCGGGUUGUAAACUUCUUUUAUAAAGGAAAAAAGUGAGGCACGUGUGCAUUUUUCUCCGUACUUUAUGAUUACAGAACGGCUAACUCCGUGCCAGCAGCCGCGGUAAUCCGGAGGAUCCGAGCGUUAUCCGGAUUUAGUGGGUUUAAAGGGAGCGUAGAUGGGUUGUUAAGUCAGUUGUGAAAGUUUGCGGCUCAACCGUAGAAUUGCAAUGGAUACUGGCAGGCUAGAGUGCAGGUGAGGUAGGUGGAAUUCGUGGUGUAGCGGUGAAAUGCGUAGAUAUCACGAAGAACACCGAUGGCGAAGGCAGCUUACUAAACUGCCACUGACAUUGAUGCUCGAAAGUGUGGGUAGCAAACAGGAUUAGAUACCCGAGUAGUC